Molecule: long non-coding RNA, 603 nt
Filed under: Aquilegia coerulea
Lineage: Eukaryota; Viridiplantae; Streptophyta; Magnoliopsida; Ranunculales; Ranunculaceae
Description: long non-coding RNA (ACOE_LNC001912)
Source: RNAcentral
UUUCUUUUUCUCUUGAACACUGUCAAACAAGUUUUCAUUUUGUUGGUUUCAACUUGGGUUAAUUUGCAUGUGAGGGAUAUUUUAACUAAUAAUGUGCAAUUUUAUCAUUGCAGGUUCUCCUCCACACAGACACCAUGGUCACCAUAGAUCACCACCUCAUGGUAGUAGCAACUGUGGUACACCUCCUUCACACGGUGGUGGUGGAAGCUAUGACCCUACUCCAAGUACACCCUCAACACCAACCUACACCCCAACACCUACUACACCUUCAACACCCACAUACACCCCAACUCCUACUACACCUUCAACACCCACAUACACCCCAACUCCCACUACUCCUGAUAUUCUAACUCCUCCAUCUAUUGAUCCAAACACUCCAACCACUCCAACCUUUCCUGGAAUUUUCACACCACCUUCUUCUUCAUUUCCUCCAUUGUUGCCUGACCCCAACUCACCUACUCCACUCUUCCCUGGUACUUGCACGUAAGUCGCUACCUUCACAUAUUUUUCAUGGUUAAGUUGGUUGUAUUUUUUUGUUCUGAAGUUCUUCAUGUGUUUGAUUAUUAUGAAUUAACAGCAUUUAUGUUAAUCUUUUGUAGUUAC